Molecule: ribosomal RNA, 692 nt
Filed under: uncultured bacterium
Lineage: Bacteria
Description: bacterial SSU rRNA
Rfam family: Bacterial small subunit ribosomal RNA
Source: RNAcentral
GGAUAACGGCUGGAAACGGUCGCUAAUACCGCAUAACAUACUGGGAGGACAUCCUGCUGGUAUCAAAGAUUUAUCGCUCGAAGAUGGGCUCGCGUCCGAUUAGGUAGUUGGUGAGGUAACGGCUCACCAAGCCGACGAUCGGUAGCCGGACUGAGAGGUUGAACGGCCACAUUGGGACUGAGACACGGCCCAGACUCCUACGGGAGGCAGCAGUGGGGGAUAUUGCACAAUGGGGGAAACCCUGAUGCAGCGACGCCGCGUGUGGGAAGACGGUCCUCUGGAUUGUAAACCACUGUCCCCAGGGACGAAAAUGACGGUACCUGGGGAGGAAGCUCCGGCUAACUACGUGCCAGCAGCCGCGGUAAUACGUAGGGAGCGAGCGUUGUCCGGAAUUACUGGGUGUAAAGGGAGCGUAGGCGGGGAUGCAAGUUGGGUGUCAAAACUACCGGCUCAACUGGUAGUCGCACUCAAAACUGCAGCUCUUGAGUGAAGUAGAGGCAGGCGGAAUUCCUAGUGUAGCGGUGAAAUGCGUAGAUAUUAGGAGGAACACCAGUGGCGAAGGCGGCCUGCUGGGCUUUUACUGACGCUGAGGCUCGAAAGUGUGGGGAGCAAACAGGAUUAGAUACCCUGGUAGUCCACACCGUAAACGAUGAUUACUAGGUGUGGGGGGUCUGACCCCUUCCGUGCCGGAG